RNAcentral lists this ribosomal RNA (301 nucleotides) under uncultured bacterium. Its description in RNAcentral is "partial 16S ribosomal RNA". It matches the Rfam family "Bacterial small subunit ribosomal RNA", at positions 509 to 808 of the family's 1533-position model. The record is from RNAcentral.
CAGCAGCCGCGGGAAUACGUAGGUGGCAAGCGUUGUCCGGAAUUAUUGGGCGUAAAGCGCGCGCAGGCGGAUAGGUCAGUCUGUCUUAAAAGUUCGGGGCUUAACCCCGUGAUGGGAUGGAAACUGCCAAUCUAGAGUAUCGGAGAGGAAAGUGGAAUUCCUAGUGUAGCGGUGAAAUGCGUAGAUAUUAGGAAGAACACCAGUGGCAAAGGCGACUUUCUGGACGAAAACUGACGCUGAGGCGCGAAAGCCAGGGGAGCGAACGGGAUUAGAGACCCCUGUAGUCCCUGUCUCUUAUACC